This 253-nucleotide ribosomal RNA is filed under the name uncultured bacterium. RNAcentral's name for it is "partial 16S ribosomal RNA". It matches the Rfam family "Bacterial small subunit ribosomal RNA", at positions 524 to 776 of the family's 1533-position model. The record is from RNAcentral.
UACGUAGGGAGCGAGCGUUGUCCGGAUUCACUGGGUUUAAAGGGUGCGUAGGUGGGCAAGUAAGUCAGUGGUGAAAUCUCCGGGCUUAACCCGGAAACUGCCAUUGAUACUAUUUGUCUUGAAUACUGUGGAGGUCAGCGGAAUAUGUCAUGUAGCGGUGAAAUGCUUAGAUAUGACAUAGAACACCAAUUGCGAAGGCAGCUGGCUACACAAAUAUUGACACUGAGGCACGAAAGCGUGGGGAUCAAACAGG